RNAcentral lists this ribosomal RNA (743 nucleotides) under uncultured bacterium. Its description in RNAcentral is "bacterial SSU rRNA". It matches the Rfam family "Bacterial small subunit ribosomal RNA", at positions 94 to 823 of the family's 1533-position model. The record is from RNAcentral.
AGCGGCGGAUGGGUGAGUAACACGUGGGGAACCUGCCCCUAAGUCUGGGAUACCAUUUGGAAACAGGUGCUAAUACCGGAUAAUAAAGCAGAUCGCAUGAUCAGCUUUUGAAAGGCGGCGUAAGCUGUCGCUAAGGGAUGGCCCCGCGGUGCAUUAGCUAGUUGGUAAGGUAACGGCUUACCAAGGCGACGAUGCAUAGCCGAGUAGAGAGACUGAUCGGCCACAUUGGGACUGAGACACGGCCCAAACUCCUACGGGAGGCAGCAGUAGGGAAUCUUCCACAAUGGACGCAAGUCUGAUGGAGCAACGCCGUGUGAGUGAAGAAGGUUUUCGGAUCGUAAAGCUCUGUUGUUGGUGAAGAAGGAUAGAGGUAGUAACUGGCCUUUAUUUGACGGUAAUCAACCAGAAAGUCACGGCUAACUACGUGCCAGCAGCCGCGGUAAUACGUAGGUGGCAAGCGUUGUCCGGAUUUAUUUGGCGUAAAGCGAGCGCAGGCGGAAAAAUAAGUCUAAUGUGAGAGCCCUCGGCUUAACCGAGGAACUGCAUCGGAAACUGUUCUUCUUGAGUGCAGAAGAGGAGAGUGGAACUCCAUGUGUAGCGGUGGAAUGCGUAGAUAUAUGGAAGAACACCAGUGGCGAAGGCGGCUCUCUGGUCUGCAACUGACGCUGAGGCUCGAAAGCAUGGGUAGCGAACAGGAUUAGAUACCCUGGUAGUCCAUGCCGUAAACGAUGAGUGCUAAGUGU